This 74-nucleotide transfer RNA is filed under the name Thermoprotei archaeon. RNAcentral's name for it is "tRNA-Ala". It matches the Rfam family "tRNA". From Rfam's summary of the family: Transfer RNA (tRNA) molecules are approximately 80 nucleotides in length. Their secondary structure includes four short double-helical elements and three loops (D, anti-codon, and T loops). Lineage: Archaea; Thermoproteati; Thermoproteota; Thermoprotei. The record is from RNAcentral.
GGGCCGGUAGCUCAGCCUGGAAGAGCGCCCGCUUGGCAUGCGGGAGGUCGCGGGUUCGAAUCCCGCCCGGUCCA